Molecule: ribosomal RNA, 198 nt
Filed under: uncultured bacterium
Lineage: Bacteria
Description: partial 16S ribosomal RNA
Rfam family: Bacterial small subunit ribosomal RNA
Source: RNAcentral
GUCUGCAACCCGACUACAUGAAGCCGGAAUCGCUAGUAACCGCGGAUCAGAAUGCCGCGGUGAAUACGUUCCCGGGUCUUGUACACACCGCCCGUCACACCAUGGGAGUCGGAAAUGCCCGAAGUCUGUGACCCAACCGCAAGGAGGGAGCAGCCGAAGGCAGGUCGGAUGACUGGGGUGAAGUCGUAACAAGGUAUC